UGCUGACGAAAACAACUAUAUUGUUGUACGAAAACAACUAUAUUGCUGUACGAAAACAACUAUAUUGUUGUAAACAACUAUUAAAUUGUCGAAACAACUAUUAAAUUGUCGAAAUCGACUGCAAAAAGUCGAAACUAACUACAAUUUAUAGAGAUCAACUAGAAAAGAAAACACCCCAAUUGCAACAAAAACUACUAUAUAAUCGAGCAGUUACAUCUAGAAAAACACGAUCUUCCCCCAAUCCAUGGGCAAAAAUCCUUCAACUAAGAAAAAAUUAAAUUGAACCACCACAAAAUGAAUAAACUCUGCAAAAAGCUUCCGCCUCGAAUCCCAUAUUCUCUUUAUGAAAGGUCCGAAUUUCCUCCCCUUGGCGCUGAAAAAUGAAUAGGCAUGAAUUUAUGAGUAAGCUAGUAAAUUGUCGGAUUAUGAAAAUUAAAUAAAAUCGACUAUAGAGCAUAAACAAUAAAUCAAUAUACUCUCUUAUGCUAAUCAACUAAGAAACAGAAAAUUCCAUGAAAAAAAUACUAAAGCAACAAUAAAAUUCACUAAUACAAUUACAAAACAAAACUCCGUCAAUUCACUAAAGCAACAAUAAAAUUCCCAAAUUAAACUACACACAAAAAUCUAUCAAUAUACUGAAACAAUAAUAAAACUCCAACUACAAUCAUGUACACAUACAGCAUAAAAAUCACCAACCUUAGACAAACAACAUAAAACAAAAUUGAAUCAAAACGGCAAUUAACUCACCAGAGAUAAUUGAUCUACUGUCGAUGAAGUCGUACUGCCUCUCCAGAUCAUCGAGAAUUGUAGCGGCGGCGGGAUCACAGACCGGCGUCGGAGACGAGCGAUGACGAUAGAGAGGGAUCUACAACCAGAUUUGUCGCACGGUUCCGAUGUUGUAGUGGCGACGACGCUGUGAAAUCGGAGAUGGUGGCGGCGGUGGCGACGGCUGAAUCUGUGGAAGAUGGGGAUAUGCGUGAAGAGAGAGAAAAGAGAGGCUAAGAGAGAGUGAGAAAUAAAUAAUAG
Molecule: long non-coding RNA, 1026 nt
Filed under: Erythranthe guttata (spotted monkey flower)
Lineage: Eukaryota; Viridiplantae; Streptophyta; Magnoliopsida; Lamiales; Phrymaceae
Description: long non-coding RNA (EGUT_LNC000258)
Source: RNAcentral